CUUUCUGAAGAACUGUAAUGCCAUUAAUUUGGUGUUGCAGGGAAACAGGACUGUUACUUUGAAAAAAUUAGAGUCGUUUAAAGCAGGCUAACGCUUGAAUACAUUAGCAUGGAAUAAUGAAAUAGGACGUUUGAUCCUAUUUUGUUGGUUUCUAGGAUUGACGUAAUGAUUAAUAGGGAUAGUUGGGGGCAUUAGUAUUCAAUUGUCAGAGGUGAAAUUCUUGGAUUUAUUGAAGACUGACUACUGCGAAAGCAUUUGCCAAGGAUGUUUUCAUUAAUCAAGAACGAAAGUUAGGGGAUCGAAGACGAUCAGAUACCGUCGUAGUCUUAACCAUAAACUAUGCCGACUAGGGAUCGGAUGAUGUUAAUUUUUUAAUGACUCAUUCGGCGCCUUACG
RNAcentral lists this ribosomal RNA (396 nucleotides) under uncultured Glomeromycotina. RNAcentral describes it as "SSU rRNA". It matches the Rfam family "Eukaryotic small subunit ribosomal RNA", at positions 699 to 1092 of the family's 1831-position model. The record is from RNAcentral. Lineage: Eukaryota; Fungi; Glomeromycota.